GUGCUCAGUUCAGCAGCACAUAUACUAAAGUUGGAACGAUACAAAGAUGAGCACAGCCCCUGUGUAAGGAUGACCCGCAAAUUUGUGAGGCAUUCCAUAUUUUU
Molecule: small nuclear RNA, 104 nt
Organism: Octodon degus (degu)
Lineage: Eukaryota; Metazoa; Chordata; Mammalia; Rodentia; Octodontidae
Source: Ensembl